Molecule: non-coding RNA, 208 nt
Organism: Oryza glaberrima (African rice)
Lineage: Eukaryota; Viridiplantae; Streptophyta; Magnoliopsida; Poales; Poaceae
Source: Rfam
AAUAAGUGUAGUUUUGCACUAUUCACGUUCAACGUUUGACCGUUCGUCUUAUUUGAAAAAAUUUUAUGAUUAGUAUUUUUAUUACUAUUAGAUGAUAAAACAUGAAUAGUACUUUAUGUGUGACUAAAUAUUUUUAAAUUUUUCACAAAUUUUUCAAAUAAGACGGACGGUCAAACGUUGGGCACGGAUAUCCACGACUGCGCUUAUU